UUAACACAUGCAAGUCGAACGCGAAAGGGACUUCGGUCCUGAGUAAAGUGGCGCACGGGUGAGUAACGCGUAGAUAACCUGUCUUCAUGUCUGGAAUAAUACGCCGAAAGGGGUACUAAUACCGGAUAUUCUUGCUUUUCAUAAGUUAUGCAAGCAAAGGUGGCCUCUGCAUAUGCUACUGCAUGAAGAGGGGUCUGCGUACCAUUAGCUAGUAGGUGGGGUAAUGGCCUACCUAGGCGACGAUGGUUAGCGGGUCUGAGAGGAUGAUCCGCCACACUGGCACUGGAACACGGGCCAGACUCCUACGGGAGGCAGCAGUGAGGAAUAUUGCGCAAUGGGGGAAACCCUGACGCAGCGACGCCGCGUGAGUGAGGAAAGGCCUUCGGGUCGUAAAGCUCUGUCAAGAGGAAAGAAGUGCACAAUGGCUAAUACCUGUUGUAUUUGACGGUACCUCUAAAGGAAGCACCGGCUGACUCCGUGCCAGCCGCCGC
This 491-nucleotide ribosomal RNA is filed under the name uncultured bacterium. Its description in RNAcentral is "bacterial SSU rRNA". It matches the Rfam family "Bacterial small subunit ribosomal RNA", at positions 48 to 518 of the family's 1533-position model. The record is from RNAcentral.